This 90-nucleotide non-coding RNA is filed under the name Acetobacter indonesiensis. RNAcentral describes it as "Glycine sequence". It matches the Rfam family "Glycine riboswitch aptamer". From Rfam's summary of the family: This family represents the bacterial glycine riboswitch. Glycine riboswitches usually consist of two metabolite-binding aptamers domains with similar structures in tandem. The record is from RNAcentral. Lineage: Bacteria; Pseudomonadati; Pseudomonadota; Alphaproteobacteria; Acetobacterales; Acetobacteraceae.
UUACUGCGUAGUGGGAGAGACUGGCACGCUGCCAGCGCCGAAGGAGCAACCGCCCCGGAAACUCUCAGGCAAAAGGACCCUACGCAGUAA